UCGAGAAUCUUUUGCAAUGCUCGAAAGAGUGACAAUGCGACGCCGCGUGUGCGAUGAAGGUCUUCGGAUCGUAAAGCACUGUCAGCCGGGAGGAAGGUCUUCUCCUUUAAUAAAGGGGAAGGCUUGACAGUACCGGCAGAGGAAGCCACGGCUAACUCCGUGCCAGCAGCCGCGGUAAUACGGAGGUGGCAGGCGUCACUCGGAUUGAUUGGGUGUAAAGGGCGUGUAGGUGGUGAAUUAAGUCGAGUGUGAAAUCCCUUGGCUCAACCAAGGAACUGCACUUGAUACUGAUUUGCUUGAGCGACAGAGAGGCAAAUGGAAUUCCCGGUGUAACAGUGAAAUGUGUAGAUAUCGGGAGGAACACCAGUGGCGAAGGCGAUUUGCUGGAUGUCUGCUGACACUGAAACGCGAGAGCUAGGGGAGCAAACAGG
This 431-nucleotide ribosomal RNA is filed under the name uncultured bacterium. Its description in RNAcentral is "bacterial SSU rRNA". It matches the Rfam family "Bacterial small subunit ribosomal RNA", at positions 355 to 776 of the family's 1533-position model. The record is from RNAcentral.